UGGGGAAUAUUGGGCAAUGGGGGAAACCCUGACCCAGCAACGCCGCGUGAAGGAAGAAGGUUUUCGGAUUGUAAACUUCUGUCCUUGGGGAAGAAAAAAAUGACGGUACCCAAGGAGGAAGCCCCGGCUAACUACGUGCCAGCAGCCGCGGUAAUACGUAGGGGGCAAGCGUUGUCCGGAAUUACUGGGCGUAAAGGGAGCGUAGGCGGCUUUAUAAGUCAGAUGUGAAAUACCCGGGCUUAACCUGGGGGGUGCAUCUGAAACUGUAGAGCUUGAGUGUGGGAGAGGAAAGUGGAAUUCCUAGUGUAGCGGUGAAAUGCGUAGAUAUUAGGAGGAACACCAGUGGCGAAGGCGACUUUCUGGACCAUAACUGACGCUGAGGCUCGAAAGCGUGGGGAGCAAACA
Molecule: ribosomal RNA, 405 nt
Filed under: uncultured Eubacteriales bacterium
Lineage: Bacteria; Bacillati; Bacillota; Clostridia; Eubacteriales
Description: uncultured Clostridiales bacterium partial 16S ribosomal RNA
Rfam family: Bacterial small subunit ribosomal RNA
Source: RNAcentral